Molecule: non-coding RNA, 26 nt
Filed under: Homo sapiens (human)
Lineage: Eukaryota; Metazoa; Chordata; Mammalia; Primates; Hominidae
Source: RNAcentral
UAGGACAGCUGUGCUUUGCUUGCACC